Macrobrachium nipponense is the source of this 416-nucleotide long non-coding RNA. RefSeq lists it as uncharacterized. The transcript is spliced from 3 exons. NCBI's taxonomy places the organism in Eukaryota, Metazoa, Arthropoda, Malacostraca, Decapoda, Palaemonidae. The record is from RefSeq and is a predicted model, not a curated record.
UAUGGAGGAAUUUUAUCUAAAUGUGUUUCUCAUCUUACAUUCUUCCUCCAAAUAGGACCCAUAGUAUGCCGCAGUAGCUGGAUAGUAAACGGAACUUCUUGCUACCUCUUCAGCAAUGUAACUGCGAACUGGGAGACAGCCAAGCAAAACUGCAUCGACAUGAAGAGUGAUUUGACAGUGAUCACUAGUGAUGACGAAUACAAUUUUCUUUUAGAAAACGUUGUGGAACGUGCUUGGAUUGGGAUGUAUUCCCCAUAUUUAAACAAGACGUUUUUGUGGAUUGACGGCACUACUCCAACUAUAAACAAAUGGGGGACGGAUGAACCUAACAAUGCUGGAUAUGGAGAAUACUGUGCCGAAAUUUAUAAACCAAUAAAAGGAUGGAAUGAUGCGUCAUGCACGAUUACUAUAAGGUA